AUCUAUAUAUAUUAUAUAUAUAUAUAUAUAUAUAUAUGUGAAGGCGCAUGGCUCAUUGGUCAGAGCGUCGGGCUCACAAUCAUGAGGUAGUGAGUUCGAUUCCCAGACAGGGCUAUAUGUUGUUUUCUUGAGCAAGACACUUUAUUUCACUUUGAUCCAGUUCACUCAGCUAUAGAAAUG
This is a long non-coding RNA of Octopus sinensis (East Asian common octopus), 180 nucleotides long. RefSeq lists it as uncharacterized. The record is from RefSeq and is a predicted model, not a curated record. The transcript is spliced from 3 exons. NCBI's taxonomy places the organism in Eukaryota, Metazoa, Mollusca, Cephalopoda, Octopoda, Octopodidae.